This 465-nucleotide ribosomal RNA is filed under the name uncultured bacterium. RNAcentral's name for it is "partial 16S ribosomal RNA". It matches the Rfam family "Bacterial small subunit ribosomal RNA", at positions 28 to 507 of the family's 1533-position model. The record is from RNAcentral.
GACGAACGCUGGCGGCGUGCUUAACACAUGCAAGUCGAACGGAAACGCCCCUUUGGGGUUACUCGAGUGGCGAACGGGUGAGUAACACGUGAGUAACCUGCCCUUUCCUUCUUUAUAACUUCAUUAAACUGGGGCUAAUACCGGAUAGGAAUCCUUUCUUCUUGGUGGGGGUUGGAAAGCUUCGCCGGUCUUGGGUGGACUCGCGGCCUAUUAGCUUGUUGGUGGGGUAGUGGCUUACCAAGGCUUUGACAGGUAGCCGGCCUGAGAGGGGGACCGGCCACAUUGGGACUGAGAAACGGCCCAGAUUGCUACGGGGGGAAGAAGUGGGGAAACUUGAACAAUAGGCGGAAGCAUGAUGAAGCAAGGCCGCGUGCGGGAUGACGGCCUUGGGGUUGUAAACCGCUUUCAGCAGGGGACAAGGUUGUGGUGACGGUACCUGCAGAAGAAGCACCGGCUAACUACGUG